GGCGCUGAUGGUGUAGGGGUUAAGCGCGUGAUCAUAAACAGAGGCUACAGUCCUCGAAGCGGCCUGGGUUCGAGUCCCGGACCCGGCGACA
Molecule: non-coding RNA, 91 nt
Organism: Characodon lateralis
Lineage: Eukaryota; Metazoa; Chordata; Actinopteri; Cyprinodontiformes; Goodeidae
Source: the annotation of a GenBank genome assembly